This 723-nucleotide ribosomal RNA is filed under the name uncultured bacterium. RNAcentral's name for it is "bacterial SSU rRNA". It matches the Rfam family "Bacterial small subunit ribosomal RNA", at positions 28 to 776 of the family's 1533-position model. The record is from RNAcentral.
GAUGAACGCUGACAGAAUGCUUAACACAUGCAAGUCUACUUGAUCCUUCGGGUGAUGGUGGCGGACGGGUGAGUAACGCGUAAAGAACUUGCCCUGCAGUCUGGGACAACAUUUGGAAACGAAUGCUAAUACCGGAUAUUAUGUGAGUUUCGCAUGAAAUUCAUAUGAAAGCUAUAUGCGCUGCAGGAGAGCUUUGCGUCCUAUUAGCUAGUUGGUGAGGUAACGGCUCACCAAGGCGAUGAUAGGUAGCCGGCCUGAGAGGGUGAACGGCCACAAGGGGACUGAGACACGGCCCUUACUCCUACGGGAGGCAGCAGUGGGGAAUAUUGGACAAUGGACCAAAAGUCUGAUCCAGCAAUUCUGUGUGCACGAUGAAGUUUUUCGGAAUGUAAAGUGCUUUCAGUUGGGACGAAGUAAGUGACGGUACCAACAAAGAAGCGACGGCUAAAUACGUGCCAGCAGCCGCGGUAAUACGUAUGUCGCAAGCGUUAUCCGGAUUUAUUGGGCGUAAAGCGCGUCUAGGCGGUUUGGUAAGUCUGAUGUGAAAAUGCGGGGCUCAACUCCGUAUUGCGUUGGAAACUGUCAAACUAGAGUACUGGAGAGGUGGGCGGAACUACAAGUGUAGAGGUGAAAUUCGUAGAUAUUUGUAGGAAUGCCGAUGGGGAAGCCAGCCUACUGGACAGAUACUGACGCUAAAGCGCGAAAGCGUGGGUAGCAAACAGG